GCUGUUGUUUACUACCGGUGUCCCGCCGCCUUGUUGAAUUUCUCGUGCUGUUUUUGCAGAGUCUCGCGAUCUCUCACAGCAUUGCGCUCUCUCACAAGGCACAACUUUUCCAUUACAUGCCCCCCUUUUGAUUACACAUUAAUCAAAAACUAAAAGAACAAAAAUGAUCAAACAUUGCAUUUUGUAAUAAUAACGGCCCUUACAAAUGAAACAGUCAGUGUAUUAACUCAAGAUUCAAAAAUACACCUUCACAUAAAAUGCAAGUAACUUAGGGAAAAAAGGUUGGGAGCCGUUUUGGUGGGUAGUUAUACAAGAAUAAACUUUGUAUGAGCAUGUGAAGAAAAUAAGCCAAUAAUCAUAUUUGUAUCAGAUUAUAUUUUGUGAUUGGAUAACAAACAACAAAGAAAAGGGUAAAAGGAGAAAAAUUAAAAAAAGAUUGUCCCAAUAAAUUACCUACCUAUUGUAGUCUCAGCAUCAUCAUUGUCAUUAUCAGAGAAACCAAGAUCAUCAUCAAAGUCAUUAAGUGAGUUAGUCUAGGGGUUUCUGACCAUAGUGCAUUGUGUCAUUUGAUACAAGAGUUUUGCUGAGGUCGCACGCAUGAUGAGGAUAUUAGGAAAUUUAAACUCAGUGUUGUUGUGAAAUUUACUCAUUCAAAAAUAGUAUGUAAGAUUACACGGAAACAUCAUAUGAUUAAGACAAUAAUUAAAGUAUGUGGUGAGUGAGCUCUGCUGCUCACUUGAGACGUGGAACGCCAUGCAAAAAACAACCAAAAAAAGAUGGCUUGCUCGCAGAUAGUGAGUUUAUUCAGUCCAAAAGUAUAGUGCAGAAAAGAAUCAGGUGCAGUAUUUACAGUUGCUCCAAAACCCCGCGGGUGCAACAGACAAAAAAAGAAAAACAGAAUGAUAAGGACAACUAUGGAUGUGGAAAUCAACCUGAAAAAAAAACUGCUCAAAUAAAAGGAAUGUCUCUUCUCUUCUCUGAGUCAACACUCAGCCUUACAGGAAGCCCUGUAAGGGCUACAGUGUGCCUGUACAUCCUAAUUCUCAAUUCUUAUUUGCCUUCACCUACCAGGGUCAGCAAUACACAGCUUUGUGCAUUCUCCCUCUAUUUAUAUUAGCAGAGUGUUAGCAGAAAAUCUUCAACAUUUAG
This 1149-nucleotide long non-coding RNA is filed under the name Betta splendens (Siamese fighting fish). RNAcentral's name for it is "lncRNA (ENSBSLG00000015164.1)". Lineage: Eukaryota; Metazoa; Chordata; Actinopteri; Anabantiformes; Osphronemidae. The record is from RNAcentral.